Molecule: long non-coding RNA, 13172 nt
Filed under: Citrus x clementina
Lineage: Eukaryota; Viridiplantae; Streptophyta; Magnoliopsida; Sapindales; Rutaceae
Description: Citrus clementina (C. clementina) long non-coding RNA (CCLE_LNC000495)
Source: RNAcentral
UAUAUUUAUUUGUGCUGUUGUAAUCAAAGGGUAUAGAAACUAAAAAUGUGUUUAUGUGACUAUUUAACCUAAAGGGUCUUUGUGACCAUUUAAGUAAACCUUGGAAAUGUGUGACAAUAGUCAUUCUAAUGACUUUCAAGAUUGAAAGUGAGUCGGAUUAUCAAAUUAUGAAGCAUUGAUACGUAAUGUUUUAUGGUUAUUUUAAGGUUGAAGUUGGUUUAUUCAUUAAACAAGCUUUUAACAAGAGGAGAAGGUUCCCUUUAUAAUUUAAUAAUUAAUACAACCUUUAAUAACAAAAAAGUCAUAUAAUAAGGAUGAUGAUUCUUGCUCACUUGGAUAAGAUAUAUAUAACCUAUGAUGUGGUAAGCAAGGAAUCAAUUAUGUAUUUCUUGUAUCUGAAAAAAUGAAUAAUCCUUUAACGAAGGUUAUCAUCAAUUGCAGGUUUCUAGUUUGGCUGCUUAGUUUUAGGACUACGAAUAUUACAAUAUCAUAAUUAAACGAAAUAAUAUAGGCGGUAGUCUUUGCCUGAUCUACUUUCUUCUUUUUAAUUAACCACUUAGAAGGAAAGAAUUUUGUAUACAGAGCACACUAUAAUCCUCUAAUUACCAAUUCUUUAUCUUAUAAUAUAAGUUCAUAGUGAUUAAUUUGUCCUUCUUCAGCAAAAAACAAAUCCCAUUUCAGCACAUCUACAAGAGCCCUCAUUUCUCUUUGCUCCAGCCAAUUGAUAGCAGAAUCAUCACAGACACCUUGAGCUCCGUCAAUCAUCAUAGACAAUUGGUGACUAGUGGGAGCAUUACAAGGAAGGUACGACGAGUACAAACUGAUAGAUUUGUUUAUAUGAUUCGGCUGUAGUUUUUAUAUAUGGUUAAAUUAUGACAAUAAUCAAGAGAUAAUCAUGUACCUCAUUAGUUUCAUAAAUGUACUUACUAAUUUAUUCCCCUGCUUGCCAGAAUCACGCAUGUAGAAUAAGAUAAAUUUUAAGAUUUAAACUUUUCAAUUCAUUAAAAAUCUAGUGGGAUAUUAAUCGGUAAAACCACUUAGGGGUAGUACAAGAGGUUUGUGGUGCUAACCAAUUUAUGUGAGUGGAGAAAGAAUUAAGCUUUUUUAAUCAAAAUUAAUAAUCAUAUUAAUAAAAGGACAUAAAUUUCAAGAUUUAAAAUUUUAGACUUCAUUAGAAGUAAGAGGGGGAUCGUAAAAACUUUGAAUGUAACUUAUCGGUAGUGGAAUGGAUUUUUUUUUUUUUUUUUUUUGGUUGAAGCUAUUUACACACCUUUGAACACAUGUUAGGGUGAGGGUAUUUCAGUAUUUUACCCACUUCUCAAUAAAAUAUUUUGAGGUGAUGCUACCACUAAACAACUCAUUAAACCCAUUUACUUAAUAAACACACUUCUAAAAUUUAAAAUGCACAAUUUUAUUUUACAAACCCAUUAAUACCUAAAAUACCCUUAUUAAGUUAAAUUAUCACAAUUUCUCUUAUCAUUUUCUUUUCCCAUCAUUUCUCCGUUUCUUCACUCUUUUCUUCUUCAUUUUUGGAGCUUUACCCAUAGCUUUUUUAUUCCAAAUUCUCAAACUUUUUAUUUUAUUUUUUAAUAGCUAUUUUUCCCCUUGAUAUUUCAUGCGUUUGGAACAACACCCUUAAAAAAUUUUAAUAAACAAACAAUAAAUUUAAAUAAACAGCUGAUAUUAAAAUUGCAUAUAAAUUUAGAAUAAAUAAAAAAUUUCAACUAAUUGCAGCAGUUCUUGCAUGGGUUUUUUUUUUUUUCAUUUUAUUAUAUAGAAGAAAGCGUACUAACUGAGGAGAGAUCAAGAGAAUGCAUUGUCCAAUUCAAAGAAUUCAGAAAAGAUGAAAUUAGAUGGUGGAAGUCAAGAGGAAUUUUACUAACAAUAAGCUUUUAUCCAAAUGCAUUAAAAUUCAUUGAAACUUCUUUCCGUUAACAAAAGUGUAAAUGGCAUAGAAAAAGUGAAUACAGUACAUUAAAUAAUGAAAAAUUUGGGAGAAAGGCAGUAAUUUUUUUAUUUAAUUUAAUUACAUAGUCUUGUAUAAUAACUUUCUAUGUAGACAUUUUAGUAACAAAAUUUUUUAUUAAAUAUUGGAUUCAAUGAGUAUUUUGUUGGGUUUGAACAAUCCCACCCAAAAUUUAAUAACAAAAUUUUUUGAAGUUGUUAUGAUAAAGAAAGGAGAAAAAAGAGCAAGCCGCUGCAAUUGCAACAGUGGAGGAUUUGUAACAAAACUAUUACAGAGAUAAGAUUUAAUUGAUAAAAGAAAGAUUUAAUAGAAAGUAGUUAGAGAAACAACUAAUAAAAAUUAAUCAUAUUUAUUAUGGGUAUAUUAGGAAUAUUUGUGGCCUCACCUCUCAUCUUAUAAUAAAUUUUUAUGUUCCUACAGUAACCCUAAUAUAGUUUAAUAUUAAGGACAACGUAAUGAAAUAAUUGUUAUUCUUAUAUCCAUUAAAGAUAUAUUGUUAUCUUAUAGAUGCGAGAAUGCUCCAAUGCUCAAGUAAAAUUUUUAGUGAAACACAUAAGAAUUCUACGUGUAGAGAGAACUUCGUCAAGGUAUUUAAGAUGUAAUUAAUGCUCUUUGCUAGUGUACCACAUUUAAUAUUUGAAUCAUGACACGUGGCAUUGCAAAUAGUGGCUUUAUUUCAGGUCUUCGUAGGUGCUCCGGACAUAUGUUCGCUCCGGAGCUAGUAUUAGGUCAUCAUGUGCUUCUUUUAGUGAUCCACGUGAUUCCUUUUGAAUAACCAUGUCAAAUGCUCGUUUAUCAAGGACACGUGUCUUGUCAUCAGAACAUAUUAAAAACAUAACAUGCUAACCCAUGUGCAUUUAUGAAAAAUCAAAUGAGAAUAAUAAAUUAAAAAAGAAAAGGAUAAAAGUACAACAGCUAAUUAGUAAUAUUUGAGUUUCGGAUGAUGAAUAUUUAAUUUUAUGGGUGUAAAGAUAGGAAAGAAAAGUAGGUUUAAUGAGGACUAUUUUAGUAUUAAAAGAGUAUUCAAAAUAAAUUUUAUUUUAAAAAUUUUAUUCAAUAAGGUAUGGAGAUCAUUCCAAAUAUAUUUUAGGUACAAACUCGUCCGUUUGACGUAAUACUGUGUCUUAUAAUAAGACUAGCAAUAGUCAAAUUAGCUUAUUAUGAUAAGAUCUGUUAAAUUUAAUAUUUUAAAAAAAUUAUCGUCUCAUCAUAAAACACACUGCUCUACUAUUCGGUAGAGCAUGAGUGGUUGGCACAGACCAUGGAUUGCACAAAUAUUUCUAAAAUUUGAAUCCUCAAACCCUCCUGACAAUGCCACCAGUAGGGAUGGGCCAGAUUUUUCUAAGCUCGGCCCUAAGUCCAUGUUAUCCAUGCAUUUUUAAUUAUUAUUUUAAAUAUUACUGAAUUUGUAAUGAGUUAAUAAUCAAUAAGUUAUUAUAAUCAACAAUAAAUUAAAAAUGACUAUUUAAAAUAAAAUAAUAAAUAAAAAAUAAAGCAAAUAAAAGUUUACAUAUAUAUUUAAUUUCUUAGUAUUAAAUUCUCUAAUUUAAACAUUCUCUUAGUUAAUUAAGAUAUAAGAGAGAGUUUAGUGUCACAAUUUUAAAUUUUUUCAAUUACUAUUGAUUGAAUUAGGGAUUUAAGCUUUCUUUUUUUAAUUAUUUUUUUAUAUUUUGUAUUAAAAAAAUAGAGGACUUAACAUGUCCCGGACUUUUUUUCUUAAAGAAACCCUCAUGUAAAGGACUGGGGCUAAGCCCGCUGGGCCUGGGCCGGACCCUUUGAGGCCCAAGGCUAGCCACCAGUCUCUUUUGUCAAUCAUUGUUAAUGAACUAGCCUAGUUGAAUACUUUUAAAUUGAUGGGUCGUAAUUGCCAAUUUCCAAAUACAACAAAUUUUUAUAGGUGUAUUGGUAGACUGAACGACAGCUAACAACACGUGACAUAAUUAACUUACUUCCAAAGGAAUUUUUUUUAUUUAAAGAUACAGUGGAUGAACAUAGAAAUCUUGUGUCAAGUUUUAAAAUUUGUCAAUAAUGUGUAUACACAUAUGAAAUCUUCCAUUUUUCAUAUGUGUAUACACAUUAUCAUGAUUGAUUGAAACAUAUACAUGAUAAAGAUUAAUGAAUUAAAAAAAAACAGUGCUUUAGGAGAUAACACUCAAGAAUUUUUCCUACUUCAUCCAGUGGGAAUAUCUACCUCCACCUAAUUGUAUUCAAUAGGAGGAGGAAUUGUUGUGUCCCCUCUUGGGACUCAAACCAUUGUGUCUAUUACCACCCGUUUGUGUUUAAAAUUUGGUUGAAUUUAUAGAAUACUAUAAAUGGUAAAAGAUGCAACCAAAUAAUAUUUCGUGACUCUGUCUUUUCAGUUUUAGGAACAAUGGUGGAAUCAUUUUUGCCGCUUGAAAAACUUACGGAAAAAUUAGGAUCCCGUGCUUUCCAAGAACUUUUAGCACUCUACUGUGUCAAAAAUGACGCAGAAAAGCUAAAGGAGACCUUAACCACUGUCAAAAGUGUGGUUUUAGAUGCUGAGGAAAAGCAAGUCCAUAGCCACCAGUUAAGAGAUUGGCUGGAAAAGCUUAAGGAUGCUUGUGAUGAUGCAGAAGGUGUCUUGGAUGAAUUCGAGGUGGAAGAUCUGCGAAGGCAAGUCAUGAAGCAAAGAAGCAUCGGAAGAAAGUUACGUAACUUUUUUGGAAGCUCAAAUCCAGUAGCUUUUCGUUUUAGAAUGUGUCAACAAAUCAAGAAAGUCAGAGAGAGGUUUGAUGAGAUUGCAAACAUGAUGCAUAAGUUUGAUCUCACUGCACGACUUGAUGAUCGUAGUUGGCGAAUUGUGCAUGAAGAGAGGGAAUCUACUCACUCGUUUGUGAGUCCAUCAGAUAUUAUUGGAAGAGAUAAAGAUAGAGAAAAAGUUAUUGAAGCUCUAAUGCAAGCAAGUUCUGGCGAAAGUGAAACUGUGUCUGUUAUUCCUAUUGUGGGAAUUGGAGGUCUGGGCAAAACUGCUCUUGCACAGUUGGUGUUCAAUGACCAAAGGGUAGAAGAGCAUUUUGAGUUGAAAAUCUGGAUAUGUGUUUCUGAAGAUUUUGGUGAGAGACAAAUUAUGACAAAGAUUAUCAAGUCGAUAACUGGUCAAAACCACGGUGACUUGGAUAUAGAGCAAUUGCAACGAAUCUUGCGAGUUUGUUUGACUGGUAAGAGAUAUUUACUUGUUAUGGAUGAUGUAUGGAACGAAGAUCCCAAAGUAUGGGAUAAAUUGAAAAGCUUAUUGUCGGGGGGUGCAAAGGGAAGCAAAAUUCUGGUAACCACACGUAGCAAUAAGGUUGCUUCAAUCAUGGGCACGAGGGGAGGCACUACUGGCUACAACUUACAAGGUCUACCAUUCGAGGAUUGCUUGUCUUUGUUUAUGAAAUGUGCAUUUAAAGAAGAGCGAGAUAAACAUCCAAACCUUGUAAAAAUCGGGGAAGAAAUUGUGAAAAAAUGUGGAGGAAUUCCGCUGGCAGUCAGAACACUAGGAAGUCUAUUAUAUUGCUCAACGGAUGAACACGAUUGGGAAUAUGUGAGGGAUAAUGAGAUAUGGAAGUUAGAACAAAAGGCAAAUGACAUUUUACCUGUUCUGAGGUUCAGUUAUGAUCAACUACCGCCUCGCCUGAAACAAUGUGUUGCUUAUUGUUGUAUCUUUCCAAAGGAUUAUCAAUUUUCAAGUGUUUAUUUGGUUCAAUUUUGGAUGGCUCAAGGACUUCUCCAUCCACUUAAUGAAAAUGAUGAACUAGAUGACAUUGGCAUGCGGUCCUUGAAGCAACUAUGUUCAAGAUCUUUCUUCCACGAUUUGGUACGAGGAUUUGAGAUGUUCACUUUCAAAAUGCACGACCUCAUCCAUGAUCUUGCACAGCUAGUGGCCAAAGGUGAAUUCCUAAUAGUGAACUCUGACUGUCAAUCUAUUCCCAAAAGAGUCCGCCAUUUGUCAUUUGUGGGUGCUAAUGCAUCAAGAAAAGAUUUUUCAAGGUUUUUAUCUGAUUUAGGUCGUGUGAGAACCAUUUUCUUUUCAAUUAAUGAUGAGAAGGUAAGCCAAUCAUUUGUUAGAUCAUGCAUCUCAAAGUCACAGUUCUUGAGAGUGCUAAAUUUAAGUGGCUCUGCUAUUGAGGCUUUGCCAAGAGAGAUAGGUAAUUUGAAGCAUAUGAGAUAUCUUGACCUAUCAAGAAAUUAUAAAAUCAAGAAACUUCCAAAUGCCAUUUGCAAGCUGCAAAGUUUACAAACACUGAAUCUUGAAGAAUGUCUGGAGCUAGAAGAGUUGCCUAAAGACAUAAGGUACCUUGUUAGUCUCAGAGUGUUUGAGGUAACCACAAAGCAGAAGUCUUUGCAGGACAGUGGAAUAGGGUGCUUGGUUUCUCUUCGUUGUUUGAUAAUAUCUCAUUGCAGGAAUUUGGAAUAUUUGUUCGACGAUAUAGAUCAACUAAGGGUCCUUCGAUCAUUAUUAAUUGCUGGUUGUCCCCGUCUAAUCUCAUUGCCGCCUGCUAUGAAAUACCUCAGCUCAUUGGAGACUCUAAUGUUUGUUCAGUGUGAAAGCCUUAGUCUUAAUUUGAGCAUGCAAUUGGAAGGGGAAGGAAGUCAUCAAGCUCGCAAUACCACAAGGCCUCACCUUCGGAAGCUUUUGAUUGGGGAAGUAACACCGUUAUUGGAAUUGCCACAAUGGCUUCUUCAAGGUUCUACUGGAACUUUACAACACCUAUUUAUUGCAAAUUGUCCCAACUUCAUGGCACUACCAGAGUCACUGAGAAAUUUCGAAGCACUUGAGGGUCUUGUCAUCGGGAAUUGUCCAAAAUUGUCAUCGUUGCCUGAGGAUAUGCUUCACCUGAAAACAUUGAGGAUUAGAGGCUGUCCUGCACUGAGUGAUAGAUGCAAACCGCUAACAGGUGAAGAUUGGCACAAGAUUACCCAUGUCGCUCACAUUAAGCUUGAUGACGAGAUAAUUAAAUCAAGUGAUAUUUAGGUAUGGAUUAAUCUCUCCUUUUUUUCCCUCUUUUCAUUCAAGUUUUUACUUUUGAAUUUCUCAUCUACCUAUACCGUUUAUAGUUUAAUGUUUUGUUAUGUUUACCAAAUAGAAACUUGUUGAAUGUUUAGUUAGUUAGUUCAAAUUUGUACUAAUUUCUUUUCUUCUAAUAAAUGAUUAGUUUGUUAAUACAAACUCAAUUACUCAAGCAUAUUAUUUGGAAACCAAACCGUUCUUGGGGUUAUCUGUUUCUAAAUCCAAACGGUUCAGGAAUUUUAAGAACGGAAGUUAUAAAGGGAUUUUCUUAAUUAGCCAGUUAUAUGGAACCUUAUUCGCAUAAAAGAAGAGCUUCUGAAAUUUCAAUUUUUGUUAAUAUUUUAACUCGCGCUGAAGCAUCUAACAAUUUAUCCUCUAUUUUCUCUUCUUUUCUUUUCUUUUUCCCCAAAUAUUGCAGCUUUCUUCGGAGAGGUUCAGCGAAGCUAUAGAGACAAUGAAAUUAUUACUGUAAUGUUGUUUCGGAACAGAGGUUCAACCGUUUUAAUGUUGUGUUUAAAAUUGCAAGUAUUGUAUAUUCAUUACUUAUGAUAAGUACAUCGAGUGAUGUAUAUAUGCGUGCCUGUAUGACCAUGAUUGAUAACCUUAAAUAUAUAUGUGCAUGUGUUGUCAUGACUGAUAACCUUAAAUAUAAUACCAAUAAUGUUUGUAGAAUUUCUGAAAUUCUCAUGAUGCACAAUUUAUGUAAUUUACAGUAUGUUCUUUCUCCUCCUUCGGUAGUCAGUAAUAUAAUUUGCAUUGAUUGCGUUGCUUAGCUCUACAUAAUUUGCAUAUUUUUUUUUCAAAGAAUAUUGAUGUGUUGUGUAAUGGAAUGGUGGUGCCUGUAUUUUGUGCUUUGUGAUUGAUGACUUACAUUUUCCCCAAAAAAAAGGAAACGGAUAGGCUUCCUUUUGAAUGGUGACCUUUUAUGAUAUGAAUCGCAUGUUUCUUGAGGUUUUUUUAAAUUUUUUAUAAGACACUUGAAGAAGGAAAUUCAUGUUCUCUUUCUCAAUAUAAAAUGACUAAUUUGAAGAAUACUUAUUAUAAUAGAACGUAGAACUCGUAUGUAUUUUAGUAUAAAAAUUCUGUACAAUAAAAAGUUUUUUAUGUGAAGUCGAUCGACACUAUCACAUUAUCAUAUUACCAUUCAAUUCUUCAUUUUUAUCUAAUUAAAAUGAUAAAUUAAAGUUGAUACGAGAAUAUUAAAGAAGAUUGGACCUUGGAGGGCAAUGUGAAUUUUGAACCGGCGCCAUUUCAGCUCCACCUACUCUAUAAAUAAAUGAUUAUGAGUGAUAGAACAAGAUCAGCUGAUACAGAGAGAGACUCUCGACUCUUAAUAGUGAGCAAAAAAAUGGUGCGCAACUUCUUUUUGAUUAAAAUUUAAUGAUUUCUUCGUAUUAGGGUGCGUUUGGGAUUGAGGUGCUAUAGCUUUUAAGCUACAGCUGCUGUGAAAAAAAAAUUGUAAUUAUAAACAAAAGUUAAUAAUAUAUAAUAAAUAUAAAUUUUGAUAAAAUUAUUAAAGAUAUAAUAAAUUUUAUAUUAUACAAGUGAAAAAUCAUAUCAAUGUAGCUUAAAAACUACAACAGUUAGUGUUUACCAAACACUUUAAUACCGUAACUUUUAAGCUACAGCUGCCCAACCUCAAUCCCAAAAGCACCCUUAAUCAAAUUAAUCAUUAUUAUAUAUUUAUUUAUUUAUUUAUUUUUCAACUUCAGAAGAAUCUGUUUUGUUGUUCUCCUCCUCAAGUGCCUACUUUUCAGUGUGCAAGGAUGUAUGUUGAGGGCAGCGGAUGAAAUCGCUAAACUGUUGGGGGUAGAGGAGGCGGGAGAGGAGAUGGUUCCCAUUUCCGCCCUUGCUUUCCUCCGCUUGGCUGCAAAAGUUCAUCACAAAUCAACUCCGUUACAUUGUUACUGGUCUUUUGCUUAUUUAUUUUCAAUGUCUUAUUAUGUUUUUAAUUAUGAGUUCAUGAUUUGAGUUGAGUUUUGUUGUUCUCCGCCAGCAUUGUUUUAUUUUCAAUGUCUUAAAUUAAUUAUGAGUUCAAGGGCUGUCAAAUUGGACCAAGUCUCGUGGCAAGAAUUAAUUUUUCACCGUUUCUUUGAGAUUCUACCACCGUAAUUUAAUUUUCACUUGAUCGAUUUCAACAAAAUCUCUCAAAAUUGUUGUCCUGAGCUUGCGGCAGCUUUCAUCACCGGCGAAGGCUGAAGAUUCAAGCAAUAGAGCUGCUCAUGAUGAGGGGAAGGAGAAGAGGACCUAACGAGUUUGCAAGAGCGUGUAUAGAGGAAUAAAGCGGAUGCCAUGGGGGAAAUGGGAAGCUGAAAUUUGAGGCCCUUACAGGGGCGUCCGCUUUUGCCUCGGCACUUUCAACACCACCGAAGAAGCCGCAAGAGAUUAUGCUGAAGCCGCCAAGAGUAUUCGCGGCAACAAGGCCAAGCUCAGCUUUGUUCUGCCGCCGCCGCCAAUAACUCCACCUCCAGCUAAGAAACACUGCAUGUUAUCUCCUGAGUUGACUCUGCCGUGUUUUGAAGAUUACUUUUUUAUUGGUUUAUGCAUUUGAGUUUACAAAGAAAUGGUAUUCUUUGUCCCCAUAUUGUGAACACUUGGGCUUUUAUUGUUGAAAAUUACCUUUUUUGCGCUGCUCUUAUCUAUGAGGUUGUGCUUUCCUUUGGAUGCUCUUUAAUAAACAGCUUUCCUAAUGACAACUGAAGUGAAAAGUCAUUUAUCAAAUGAUUUGGUGAAAUAUCAGGUACUUUCAUCUUGGUUUUUGCAGUUAAUAGGAAUAGGUUGGUGUUGGGAUGUGCUACAUGUAUCAAGUUCUUAUCGCUAGUGGAUGUGCCAUCAUUUACUCUCACUGAAUGUAUUAUUAGUUUAUUUAUUGAACACUCCCAAAUCAGUAAAGAAUCCUCAAUUUUCUCUGUUUCCUUUAGAUCCUAGUAGUGUUUUCGCAUGCAUCAACUAGUGUUUAUGCAUGUGUCGGCAAGUGUUUAGACAAUAAAUUUAAAGGUUACGGUGACAUAAGUUGACAGCAAAGGAAGGAUGUAUGCUGCAUUUGAAGGAAGGUGAAAGUUUUCCAUUUUUGUAAAUGAGUUUAAAGCAGGAUAUGUUUAGUUUCAUGAAAUGCUUUCUUAUUUUUCGAUGACGAAGUAAUGUGAGUCAAUAUUCUCUUUAAAUAAUGUUCCCCAGUUCUUGAACGUUCUGCCAAUCUUUAUUUGUUAUUUGAAUUUAAAGAAACUUUCUAAGUGCAUACAUCCAUAUAAAGUUGAAGAUCUUCUAGAAAAGCUGGCAUCCAUCAAGAUCAAGAAAUUUUACUGCUUAGUACGUGUUAUAUUUAUAGAUUGGCUAUUGAAGAAGUAGUAUUUGUACCGAUGCAGAUGCAGGAACUAUACACAUCUAAAGUUUAUGAGAUAUUUUUGUCUUUUUGACUCAGUUAGAUAACUAUCAGUCAGUUAACCAAUUUAUGUUACUCUUGUUUGGCUAGCCAAUUAACAAUUUAUAUUUGCUGGAUUGUAAAGCCGACAUCUGCAAGCCAUAUGUGAUUUUAUUUGAAGGCAAUUUGCUCUAGACUAUAUGCGGAUUUCUAUCAUGAUUUCUAUAAGCUUGAAGGAGAUUUCCUUUUUUGUUUCUUUAAAUGCCUGUGAGCUUGAAAAUUAUACCCGUACAUGUUGAAACCAUUAGAUACCUGCUAAGAAUCAAGCAUAAUCGUGUCCAGUUGAAACCAUAAGUUGGGUCCUGUUUUAUGAGAAAAUUAUGUGUAAUUUGGGUGCAGUAAACCUAGGUUGAAUACCGGGACACAGUAUAAAAGCGAAACCACAUAUUGAAUCUUGCAUAAAGACCUUAAAGAUGUAAUUUUGAAUUGUACAUGAGAUGUUGUCUGGACCAAAUUUCAGCGGCUUUGGUUAGGAUUCAGAAAAGAGAAUUGUAACCGCAGAGAAUGCUCUGUGGGAUGGUUAUAUCCAGGUAUGUAAUGGCCUUAUUUUGAUUCUGGGCUGUUUGAGUUUUGUGCUGCUGUUGAUACUGGUUUUAGCUAUUUUCUGCUACUGUCUUAUUUGCUUUUUUGUUUUUUAAUACUACUUUUGCUGCUGAAUUUUGCUGGUUUCUGCUGUUUCACUCGCUGAUAGCUGCUGUUUAUUACUAUUGUUUGAUACCUUUUGAUUUGCUCCUUUUUUGCUGCUGAUUUUUGCUGUUUCCUUCCGCUGUUUUUGCUGCUUUUGCUGCUUUUGUUGCUGUAUUUUACUGCUUUUACUGUUGAUUUUUGCUGUUUUGUACUCACUGGUUGCUGUAUGUUUAUUAAUAUUGUUUGCUGCUGUUUUAUUUGCUGUUUUUUUGCUUCUAAUUUUUGCUGUUCUCUGCCAUUAUUUGCUGCUGCUGUUGUUUUACUCGCCAGUUGAUGCUGUUUUGUGGUUCGCCUCCUCAAGUGCCUGCAUUUUUCAACGUGCAAGCUUAUAUAUUGAGACUGGCGGAUGAAAUCUCUAAACUGUUAUAACAUCCGAGGCUCCCCUAGAGAAGGAUUUGGUCUUAAUUUGGGGAAGGGGGUUUUUCUGGUUUGUACACAAGUGUAUGCAUUCCUUCAAUCACGUAGCUUUGUGCCCAUGAUUAAGCAUAAAUAAUCAUAUAGACCCGUUUUGUGAUGAUAAUGACAAUUUUAUGAUUCAGACACGUUGUUAGGAACACUGUAUUGGUUUUUCUUUCGCUGUUUGUACCCAUGAUUAAGCAUGUAAUGGCUUUUAAUAAAAAAUAAUAAUAAGAAAUAGUGCUAUAUCAAGAUUAUAAUUUAAACAAAAAAAAAAGAACUUUAUAAUAAGGAUGAGGAUUCAUUUCCAGUUAGAUGAGAUAUAAGAUAUAACAUAGGAAAAAGCCACCUACAUUCUCAAGAUAUAUUUAAAUGGUUAUAUAGAUCCUUUUAGUUUCAUAAAUAAUCAUAUAGACCCGUUUUGUUUAAUAUUAAAAUAAUUAUAUCUUUUAAUUACAACAACCCAAUAAUUGAUUUUGAAUAAAUUUUUUAUAAUAAAUAUAAAGUGGAACUGAAAUAAUAUUACAUAUAAAAUAAGUUAAAAUUUAUAAAUUAUUUUGAAUAAUAAUAUUAAAAUGAUUUUACCCAACCCUCACAUUAAUUUAUAAAAUUUAUAUUAUUUUUCUUACUAUUUUUUUUAAUUACAUCUACAUCGUAUAAAUCUUAAAGUAAAUCUUUAGUUUAAUAGAAUUUAGUAUUAAUAAAAAACCAUUGGGAUAGACUAAUAAUAGCUUAAUAUUAAAAAUAAUUUUCAUUAUAUAUGUUAUUUUAUUAAAUAUAGUUGUUGUAAUAUUUUAUUUGUAUCAUAUGCUAUUUAUUUAUUAUUUUUAUCUUAUUACUAUAUUUAUAUUUAUUUGUAUUGUUAUAAUCAAAGAAUAUUAUCGUCGAAAAGGGAUUUAUGUGAUUAUUUAUGAAACCAAAAGGGUCUACGUAAUCAUUUAAGUAAACCUUAAAAGCGUGAGUGGCUUUUUGCCAUAUAGCAUAUGAUCCGAUAGCCAAGGAAUCAAUUAUGUAUUUCUUGUUUAUGAAAAAAUGAAUAAUCCUUUAACGAGGGUUAUCAUCAAUUGCAAGUUUCUAGUUUGGUUGCUUGGUUCGAGGACUAUGAAUAUUACAUUAUCAUAAUUAGGGGAAAGAAUAUAUGCUUUAGUCUUUAGCUGGUCUACUUUUUUCUUUUUGAUUAACCUCUUGCGGGGAAAGAAUAUUGUAUACACAGCACACUAUAAUACUCUAAUUACCAAUUCUUUUUGUUAUAUUAAAGUUCAUAGUGAUUAAUUUGUCCUUCUUCAACGCAAAACAAUCCCAUUUCAGCACAUCUACAUUCUACAAGGGCCCUCAUUUCUUUUUGCUCCAGCCAAUUGAUAGCAGAAUCAUCGCAGACACCUUGAGCUCCGUCGAAUCAUCAUAGACAAUUGGUGAUUGGUGGGAGCAUUACAAGAAAGGUACGACUCCUUCAAACUGAUAGAUUUGUUUAUAUGAUUCAGCGAUAGUUUUAUAUAUGGUUAAGUUAUAGCAAUAAUGAAGAGAUAAUCAUGUACAUCAUCAGUUAGACGAAUGCACAUACUAAUUUAUUCCUUUACUUGCCAGAAUCAUACAUGUAAAAUGAGAUAACUUUUAAGGUUUAAAACUUUGCAAUUCAUUUAAAAUCUAGUGGGCUAUUAAUUGGUAAAAUCACUCAGUGGUAGUACAAGAGG